Molecule: unclassified non-coding RNA, 372 nt
Filed under: uncultured Trechispora
Lineage: Eukaryota; Fungi; Basidiomycota; Agaricomycetes; Polyporales; Polyporaceae
Description: sequence contains ITS1
Rfam family: 5.8S ribosomal RNA (bases 1-105)
Source: RNAcentral
GAAAUGCGAUAAGUAAUGUGAAUUGCAGAAUUCAGUGAAUCAUCGAAUCUUUGAACGCACCUUGCGCCCGCUGGUAUUCCGGCGGGCAUGCCCGUUUGAGUGUCUUGAAACCAUCAACCCCCCGCCUUUGCGGGCGCGGGGGUUGGACGUGGGGGCCUUUGCUGCGCGCGAGCGCGGCUCCCCUUAAAUGCAUCGGUUGGGCUUGGGAUCGCCUGCGUGCCUCUGGCGUUGUAUCUACCUCGCUUGCUGGCCAUCGGCUUUCCCCUUGCGCGCUCGGCCUUGACCUUGCCUCUGGAGCGGCGGUCGACUUUGACGGUUUUCACCGUUCUUUCUUCUGACCUCAAAUCGGGUAGGACUACCCGCUGAACUUAA